CCUACGGUGUGCAGCAGUGAGGAAUAUUGGUCAAUGGACGCAAGUCUGAACCAGCCAUGCCGCGUGCAGGAUGACGGCUCUAUGAGUUGUAAACUGCUUUUGUACGAGGGUAAACCCCGAUACGUGUAUCGGGUUGAAAGUAUCGUACGAAUAAGGAUCGGCUAACUCCGUUCCAGCAGCCGCGGUAAUACGGAGGAUCCGAGCGUUAUCCGGAUUUAUUGGGUUUAAAGGGUGCGUAGGCGGAUUUUUAUGUCAGCGGUAAAAUGUCCGGGCUCAACCCGGGCCGGCCGUUGAAACUGGGGAUCUUGAGUGGGCGAGAAGUAUGCGGAAUGCGUGGUGUAGCGGUGAAAUGCAUAGAUAUCACGCAGAACUCCGAUUGCGAAGGCAGCAUACCGGCGCCCGACUGACGCUGAGGCACGAAAGCGUGGGGAUCGAACAGGAUUAGAUACCCGAGUAGUC
RNAcentral lists this ribosomal RNA (459 nucleotides) under uncultured bacterium. Its description in RNAcentral is "partial 16S ribosomal RNA". It matches the Rfam family "Bacterial small subunit ribosomal RNA", at positions 338 to 795 of the family's 1533-position model. The record is from RNAcentral.